UAUGAAUUAUUCUAAUUAAGAUUUUACUAAAUUGAAAUACAUUGAUGUGUUAACUCCUACUAAUUCAGAAGGGUCAAUCUCAUUUUGACUCACGCACCGACUUGACAAGUAUUUGACGUCUCCAGAAACCUUUCAUUACUGAAUUAGAAAUUCAGAUAGUCUGGUACUAAAGUACAUUGAGUUGCUUGUAAGUCAUCGUGAUGAUC
RNAcentral lists this long non-coding RNA (206 nucleotides) under Elaeis guineensis (African oil palm). Its description in RNAcentral is "long non-coding RNA (EGUI_LNC077731)". The record is from RNAcentral. Lineage: Eukaryota; Viridiplantae; Streptophyta; Magnoliopsida; Arecales; Arecaceae.